RNAcentral lists this ribosomal RNA (424 nucleotides) under uncultured bacterium. RNAcentral describes it as "partial 16S ribosomal RNA". It matches the Rfam family "Bacterial small subunit ribosomal RNA", at positions 359 to 775 of the family's 1533-position model. The record is from RNAcentral.
GAAUUUUGGACAAUGGGCGAAAGCCUGAUCCAGCAAUGCCGCGUGCAGGAUGAAGGCCUUCGGGUUGUAACCUGCUUUUGUCCGGAAAGAAAAGCUUUGGGUUAAUACCCUGGAGUCAUGACGGUACCGUAACACUAAUCACCGGCUAACUAAGUGCGCGCGCCCGCGGUAAUACGUAGGGUGCAAGCGUUAAUCUGAAUUACUGGGCGUAAAGCGUGCGCAGGCGGUUUUGUAAGACAGAGGUGAAAUCCCCGGGCUCAACCUGGGAACUGCCUUUGUGACUGCAAGGCUAGAGUACGGGAGAGGGGGGUGGAAUUCCGCGUGUAGCAGUGAAAUGCGUAGAUAUGCGGAGGAACACCGAUGGCGAAGGCAACCCCCUGGGCCUGUACUGACGCUCAUGCACGAAAGCGUGGGGAGCAAACAG